This 279-nucleotide ribosomal RNA is filed under the name uncultured bacterium. Its description in RNAcentral is "partial 16S ribosomal RNA". It matches the Rfam family "Bacterial small subunit ribosomal RNA", at positions 506 to 784 of the family's 1533-position model. The record is from RNAcentral.
UGCCAUCCGCCGCGGUUAUACGGAGGGUGCAAGCGUUGUCCGGAUUUAUUGGGUUUAAAGGGUGCGUAGGCGGUAUUAUAAGUCAGUGGUGAAAUCUUGCGGCUCAACCGUAAAACUGCCAUUGAUACUGUAGUACUUGAGUUCGUUCGAGGUGGUUGGAAUGCGUAGUGUAGCGGUGAAAUGCAUAGAUAUUACGCAGAACACCGAUUGCGAAGGCAGAUCACUGGGACGAUACUGACGCUGAUUCACGAAAGCGUGGGGAGCGAACAGGAUUAGAUA